UUCCCUUCACAGCUGCGACCACCUGCCC
Molecule: non-coding RNA, 28 nt
Filed under: Rattus norvegicus (Norway rat)
Lineage: Eukaryota; Metazoa; Chordata; Mammalia; Rodentia; Muridae
Source: RNAcentral